GAGUUUGAUCCUGGCUCAGGACGGACGCUGGCGGCGUGCUUAACACAUGCAAGUCGAACGAAAAGACGGAAAGAGCUUGCUCUUUCCGGAAUUGAGUGGCAAACGGGUGAGUAACACGUAAACAACCUGCCUUCAGGAUGGGGACAACAGACGGAAACGACUGCUAAUACCGAAUAAGUUCCAAGAGCCGCAUGGCCCAUGGAAGAAAAGGUGGCCUCUACCUGUAAGCUAUCGCCUGAAGAGGGGUUUGCGUCUGAUUAGCUGGUUGGAGGGGUAACGGCCCACCAAGGCGACGAUCAGUAGCCGGUCUGAGAGGAUGAACGGCCACACUGGAACUGAGACACGGUCCAGACUCCUACGGGAGGCAGCAGUGGGGAAUCUUCCGCAAUGGGCGAAAGCCUGACGGAGCAACGCCGCGUGAGUGAUGACGGCCUUCGGGUUGUAAAACUCUGUGAUCCGGGACGAAAAGGCAGAGUGCGAAGAACAAACUGCAUUGACGGUACCGGAAAAGCAAGCCACGGCUAACUACGUGCCAGCCGCCGCGGUAAUAC
This 551-nucleotide ribosomal RNA is filed under the name uncultured bacterium. RNAcentral's name for it is "bacterial SSU rRNA". It matches the Rfam family "Bacterial small subunit ribosomal RNA", at positions 9 to 526 of the family's 1533-position model. The record is from RNAcentral.